GACGAACGCUGGCGGCGUGCUUAACACAUGCAAGUCGAACGGAAAGGCCCUGCUUUUGUAGGGUGCUCGAGUGGCGAACGGGUGAGUAGCACGUGAGUAACCUGCCCUUGACUUUGGGAUAACUUCAGGAAACUGGGGCUAAUACCGGAUAGGAGCUCCUGCUGCAUGGUGGGGGUUGGAAAGUUUCGGCGGUUGGGGAUGGACUCGCGGCUUAUCAGCUUGUUGGUGGGGUAGUGGCUUACCAAGGCUUUGACGGGUAGCCGGCCUGAGAGGGUGACCGGCCACAUUGGGACUGAGAUACGGCCCAGACUCCUACGGGAGGCAGCAAUGGGGAAUAUUGCACAAUGGGCGGAAGCCUGAUGCAGCAACGCCGCGUGCGGGAUGACGGCCUUCGGGUUGUAAACCGCUUUCGCCUGUGACGAAGCGUGAGUGACGGUAAUGGGUAAAGAAGCACCGGCUAACUACGUG
Molecule: ribosomal RNA, 468 nt
Filed under: uncultured bacterium
Lineage: Bacteria
Description: partial 16S ribosomal RNA
Rfam family: Bacterial small subunit ribosomal RNA
Source: RNAcentral